CCAGACUCCUACGGGAGGCAGCAGUGAGGAAUAUUGGUCAAUGGGCGAGAGCCUGAACCAGCCAAGUCGCGUGAGGGAGUACUGCCCUAUGGGUUGUAAACCUCUUUUGCCGGGGAGCAAGGGCGGGGACGUGUCCCGGCCCGGAGAGUACCCGGAGAAAAAGCAUCGGCUAACUCCGUGCCAGCAGCCGCGGUAAUACGGAGGAUGCGAGCGUUAUCCGGAUUUAUUGGGUUUAAAGGGUGCGUAGGCGGGCUUUUAAGUCAGCGGUAAAAAUUCGGGGCUCAACCCCGUCGUGCCGUUGAAACUGAUGUUCUUGAGUGGGCGAGAAGUAUGCGGAAUGCGUGGUGUAGCGGUGAAAUGCAUAGAUAUCACGCAGAACUCCGAUUGCGAAGGCAGCAUACCGGCGCCCAACUGACGCUGAAGCACGAAAGCGUGGGUAUCGAACAGGAUUAGAUACCCCCGUA
This 464-nucleotide ribosomal RNA is filed under the name uncultured bacterium. Its description in RNAcentral is "bacterial SSU rRNA". It matches the Rfam family "Bacterial small subunit ribosomal RNA", at positions 331 to 792 of the family's 1533-position model. The record is from RNAcentral.